Molecule: transfer RNA, 73 nt
Filed under: Stegodyphus mimosarum
Lineage: Eukaryota; Metazoa; Arthropoda; Arachnida; Araneae; Eresidae
Rfam family: tRNA
About the family: Transfer RNA (tRNA) molecules are approximately 80 nucleotides in length.
Source: Rfam by way of RNAcentral
GCCUUUGUGGUGUAGUGGUCAGCACUCUCGACUCGUAUCCGAGAAGUUCGCGGUUCGCCUCCCGGCGAGGGCA